UAAUAUACCUCCACCCAGAGUUUUUGCUACU
RNAcentral lists this non-coding RNA (31 nucleotides) under Mus musculus (house mouse). The record is from RNAcentral. Lineage: Eukaryota; Metazoa; Chordata; Mammalia; Rodentia; Muridae.